ACGAACGCUGGCGGCGUGCUUAACCCAUGCAAGUCGAACGGAAAGGCCCUGCUUUUGUGGGGUGCUCGAGUGGCGAACGGGUGAGUAACACGUGAGUAACCUGCCCCUGACUUUGGGAUAACUUCAGGAAACUGGGGCUAAUACCGGAUAGGAGCUCCUGCUGCAUGGUGGGGGUUGGAAAGUUUCGGCGGUUGGGGAUGGACUCGCGGCUUAUCAGCUUGUUGGUGGGGUAGUGGCUUACCAAGGCUUUGACGGGUAGCCGGCCUGAGAGGGUGACCGGCCACAUUGGGACUGAGAUACGGCCCAGACUCCUACGGGAGGCAGCAGUGGGGAAUAUUGCACAAUGGGCGGAAGCCUGAUGCAGCAACGCCGCGUGCGGGAUGACGGCCUUCGGGUUGUAAACCGCUUUCGCCUGUGACGAAGCGUGAGUGACGGUAAUGGGUAAAGAAGCACCGGCUAACUACGUG
Molecule: ribosomal RNA, 467 nt
Filed under: uncultured bacterium
Lineage: Bacteria
Description: partial 16S ribosomal RNA
Rfam family: Bacterial small subunit ribosomal RNA
Source: RNAcentral